GUUUUUAUAGUUUAAUUAAAAACAUUGGUCUUGUAAACCAAAAUUAAGAACUUAUCUUUAAAAACU
This 66-nucleotide transfer RNA is filed under the name Rhodoprasina callantha. RNAcentral's name for it is "tRNA-Thr". It matches the Rfam family "tRNA". Rfam says of the family: Transfer RNA (tRNA) molecules are approximately 80 nucleotides in length. The record is from RNAcentral. Lineage: Eukaryota; Metazoa; Arthropoda; Insecta; Lepidoptera; Sphingidae.